GUGUUUAACCUGAACCCUUCAAGGUCACCCAAGUUGAGGUUCACGUCAAGGUAUCAACGUCAACGAAAGCGAAUCUUAAUCGAACCUAACCUAACCUACAUGGAUAAAAAUAUAAACCAUGGAAAGACACGUUAGUGUGUUAUUGGAGGGCGAGAGUCCCAAAAUAAAAAAAUGCAGCAGCAGUCAACUUCAUCACUGCCGUUCUGCAUAUAUAAGGCUGAACAUUAUAUGGUCAACAACCACAUCAAAUGUCAUGCUUCAGUGAGGCACAGAGAGUUCACAAUCAUAAAGUGUGGCUUUAGUUGUAGAAAUGCGACACACUUUCAUUGUUGCUAUUGCACGGCAACAAUAAUCAACAGAGCACAGUUUCUGAAGCACCUGACAUACCUUCAGCAUACCAGUGGCCCCUCAAGAGCACCCAGAGGCCCUUCAAUAACUUCGCCCCUCAAGAUCUUGUACCCUGGACCUUGGAGGACUUUCGGUGUGGAUGAUG
Molecule: long non-coding RNA, 493 nt
Organism: Salvelinus sp. IW2-2015
Lineage: Eukaryota; Metazoa; Chordata; Actinopteri; Salmoniformes; Salmonidae
Source: RefSeq, a predicted model, not a curated record